This is a long non-coding RNA of Haemorhous mexicanus (house finch), 1402 nucleotides long. RefSeq lists it as uncharacterized. The transcript has 3 exons. NCBI's taxonomy places the organism in Eukaryota, Metazoa, Chordata, Aves, Passeriformes, Fringillidae. The record is from RefSeq and is a predicted model, not a curated record.
ACUGGACUUUUUCUCUUCCCUCUCCCCGUCCCGAAACCCUCCUCCUCUUCCUCUUCCUCCCCUGCGAGCCCGGGGUUUGCAGCGUCCCCUUCUCCUCUCGCAGCUCCUGCCCCGCUGAGCUCCGCUGGUCCAGGGACGGAGCCAGAGCAGGGAAGCGGCUCUGCGGAGCUGCUGCUCCGAGCUCUUGGAGAUUCAGCUCUGGCUGCAGCACGUCUGGAGCUGCAGAAGUGCAGGGCCCAGCCCCAAACCCCCCCGAAAUCAGCCGGAGCUUUGGACCCAGCCCUGCAGAAAUCAAGCAGAAGGAAAUGCUGGGUGCGAGCCGAGCCGCGGGGAAGAUGCUCAAGCGCCCCGACCACGCCUCGGGGAGGGCGAUUUGCGCAUCCCGGGUUGUUUUCACAUCCCUCCGCACCAGCGCUUUCCUCCUGCUAGGAAAAUCUCCCCGCGGGGAUCACAAAUCCCAGCCGUGCACCCAAACAACCCCCAAACUCCCCCUUCGGGGACCGCGAGGCAUCCCGAACAUUUGCGGCGGGGUUUUGUUAUUCCGGCACGGCAGGAGCGGCUCCGAGGAGGCUGGAAAAGCCCGGCCGGGACCGCUGCGAGGUGCGGGCUCUCCAUUAGGUGGCAUUGGAAGUUUGGUGCUGGGACAGCCAGAGCUGCCCCUGCCUCGCCUUUGGGAGCGUAUUUAUCUUUUCAGCACUUGUUGGAUACUCGCGGCGGAAUUUGCUUUAUCAACGGGCGGUGUAAUGGUUUUAUCGGGGAAGAGAGACCCUCCCCCGUCCCCUCGCGGACAAUUAAAGGCGUUAUCAAAAUAAUUGGUUGUUGUACAAAACUGAAAAACCAUAACAACGUAAUGAAUAGACAAUUUAGAAUAAUGUAGAGCAGAUAUAGAUCAUGGAUGUAUAAUAAUGUAUAAUGUAGAGCAGAUAUAGAUCAUGGAUGUAUAAUAACAUAUAAUGUAGAGCAGAUAUAGAUCAUGGAUGUAUAAUAACGUAUAAUGUAGAGCAGAUAUAGAUCAUGGAUGUAUAAUAACGUAUAAUGUAGAGCAGAUAUAGAUCAUGGAUGUAUAAUAACGUAUAAUGUAGAGCAGAUAUAGAUCAUGGAUGUAUAAUAAUGUAUAAUGUAGAGCAGAUUAUACACAGCCCUUUCCUGUUUCCUAGAGGUUCAAACACCUGAGAAUUCAGCCGCGCCUUGCUGCACUCACCGGCAAAGGGAUUUUACACACAUCUCGUGGGGGUGUUGUCUGCUGAGCAAAGAAAAGAUGAAAAUAAGAAAAAAACCCCUUUUUUUAGUGUGUACAACACGAAGUAAUUCUGUUCUGAGGGAUAACGGAUGCAGUUUCAAAUAGUAAAAAUAAUAAAAAUUUCUUAAAAAAUAAAAGUGGAUAUUAAUCAAUUAGGAAAAA